UAGCAACAGAAUGGUUUUGCCGAAGACUUUCGUAGCAAUAAGGUUGGUGUAACCACAGCUGCAUUUGGUGUUGGAUUUAUUGGUUAUUACAUAGUGUAUAUAUAGGCUUGCUUCUUGUAUUGUGCCUCUUGCUGUGGUUUCUUCUAUGGAUCAUGGUGCUGGUUCUGCUGGUGCCCCCGCCGUCCGGCUCCCUAUUGGUGCUCCUCGUGUCUGCUUGUGGGGCUUGCCCCUAUAUCUGAAGUGGGAAAAAUGGCAGAACAAGUCUGCUAAUUCUCUGCAUAGUUUGGGGUUUGCUGUUGGUGUUGGCAGAACCCCAAACUAUGCAGAGGUGGGUGACUUGCAAUUUUUUACUGAAGUUCUGCCCGAUAGUGGAAAAAUGCAGGUCACCCACCUAUAACCUUGAGAGAGCGAUGGCUAAGUGGAU
Molecule: long non-coding RNA, 424 nt
Filed under: Androctonus crassicauda
Lineage: Eukaryota; Metazoa; Arthropoda; Arachnida; Scorpiones; Buthidae
Source: RNAcentral